RNAcentral lists this ribosomal RNA (468 nucleotides) under uncultured bacterium. RNAcentral describes it as "partial 16S ribosomal RNA". It matches the Rfam family "Bacterial small subunit ribosomal RNA", at positions 28 to 507 of the family's 1533-position model. The record is from RNAcentral.
GACGAACGCUGGCGGCGUGCUUAACACAUGCAAGUCGAACGGAAAGGCCCUGCUUUUGUGGGGUGCUCGAGUGGCGAACGGGUGAGUAACACGUGAGUAACCUGCCCUUGACUUUGGGAUAACUUCAGGAAACUGGGGCUAAUACCGGAUAGGAGCUCCUGCUGCAUGGUGGGGGUUGGAAAGUUUCGGCGGUUGGGGAUGGACUCGCGGGUUAUCAGCUUGUUGGUGGGGUAGUGGCUUACCAAGGCUUUGACGGGUAGCCGGCCUGAGAGGGUGACCGGCCACAUUGGGACUGAGAUACGGCGCAGACUCCUACGGGAGGCAGCAGUGGAGAAUAUUGCACAAUGGGCGGAAGCCUGAUGCAGCAACGCCGCGUGCGGGAUGACGGCCUUCGGGUUGUAAACCGCUUUCGCCUGUGACGAAGCGUGAGUGACGGUAAUGGGUAAAGAAGCACCGGCUAACUACGUG